UAAUUGGAGAGUUUGAUCCUGGCUCAGAGUGAACGCUGGCGGCGUGCUUAACACAUGCAAGUCGCACGAGAAAGCUUCUGCUUGCAGAGGCGAGUAAAGUGGCGCACGGGUGAGUAACACGUGGGUAAUCUACCUCCGAAUUGGGGAUAACAUUGCGAAAGCGAUGCUAAUACCGAAUGACAUCCUUUGGUUUGCGGACCUUUGGAUCAAAGGUGGCCUCUUCAUGAAAGCUACUGUUUGGAGAUGAGCCCGCGGCCCAUUAGCUUGUUGGUAGGGUAAC
Molecule: ribosomal RNA, 280 nt
Filed under: Desulfatitalea sp.
Lineage: Bacteria; Pseudomonadati; Thermodesulfobacteriota; Desulfobacteria; Desulfobacterales; Desulfosarcinaceae
Description: partial 16S ribosomal RNA
Rfam family: Bacterial small subunit ribosomal RNA
Source: RNAcentral